RNAcentral lists this ribosomal RNA (544 nucleotides) under Mimachlamys asperrima. RNAcentral describes it as "partial 16S ribosomal RNA". It matches the Rfam family "Bacterial large subunit ribosomal RNA", at positions 1819 to 2597 of the family's 2925-position model. The record is from RNAcentral. Lineage: Eukaryota; Metazoa; Mollusca; Bivalvia; Pectinida; Pectinidae.
GGCUUUUUGAAUAACAUGAAAAGUCGAGCCUUCCCGGUGGGCAUACGAGCCUAAACGGGCGCGGUAAAUCGUGCUAAGGUAGCUAAAUUAUUGCCCAUUAAUUGUGGUCCUGUGAAUGGUUUGACGAGUCUUCGACUGUCUCAAAGUUGUUUUGGUGAACUUGAAUUGGAUGUGCAAAUGCCUCCAUGGGUAAGAAAGACGAGAAGACCCCGUGAAGUUAGAAAUUCUUGUCAUAGUGUGAGUUUUCAAUUCCUUUAGAAUUCAAGAUAGGAAUCAAGUAAUUCUAAGUUGAGAAAUAUGGUUUUUGUGUUUUGGCUGGGGCAGCAAAGAGGCAAGUCUAGACCUCUUUUAUCUUAAAACGGGUGCGUUACGACCCACAAGUUCGUAAGGUGUGAUUAGCAGAAGUAGUUACUCCGGGGAUAACAGCGUUAUCCGCCCCGAUAGUCCUUAUAGACGGGCGGGUUUGCGACCUCGAUGUUGGCUCUGGUUAUCCUGAGGCUUGCAGGAGGUCUCAAGGGUUGGUUCGUUCGCCCAUUAAAAUCCG